This 618-nucleotide ribosomal RNA is filed under the name Holothuroidea sp. DEVP-2021. RNAcentral's name for it is "SSU rRNA". It matches the Rfam family "Eukaryotic small subunit ribosomal RNA", at positions 21 to 618 of the family's 1831-position model. Lineage: Eukaryota; Metazoa; Echinodermata; Holothuroidea. The record is from RNAcentral.
AGUCAUAUGCUUGUCUCAAAGAUUAAGCCAUGCACGUCUAAGUACAAUCGUGUAUUAACCGAGAAACUGCAGAUGGCUCAUUAGAUCAGUUAUGGUUCAUUGGAGCCAGUUCACGACCAUGGAUAACUGUGGUAAUUCUAGAGCUAAUACAUGCAUCUAAGCGCCGACCCUUCGGGGGAAGCGUGCUUUUAUUAGGAACAAGGCCAGCCCGGUGUCUCGCUUCGGCGUGCCCGGUCUCCGCUGGUGAACUCUAGAUAACCCAGCCGAUCGCACGGUCUCGCACCGGCGACGCUCCCUUCAAAUGUCUGCUCUAUCAACUGUCGAUGGUACGUUAUGCGCUUAUCAUGGUAGUGACGGGUAACGGAGAAUCAGGGUUCGAUUCCGGAGAGGGAGCCUGAGAAACGGCUACCACAUCCAAGGAAGGCAGCAGGCACGCAAAUUACCCACUCCUGACACGGGGAGGUAGUGACAAAAAAUAACGAUACAGGCCUCUUCGGAGGCCCUGUGAUCGGAAUGAGUACACUUUAAAUCCUUUAACGAGGAUCUACUGGAGGGCAAGUCUGGUGCCAGCAGCCGCGGUAAUUCCAGCUCCAGCAGCGUAUAUUAAAUUUGCUGCAG